RNAcentral lists this ribosomal RNA (217 nucleotides) under Escherichia coli. RNAcentral describes it as "partial 23S ribosomal RNA". It matches the Rfam family "Bacterial large subunit ribosomal RNA", at positions 1 to 216 of the family's 2925-position model. The record is from RNAcentral. Lineage: Bacteria; Pseudomonadati; Pseudomonadota; Gammaproteobacteria; Enterobacterales; Enterobacteriaceae.
UGGUCAAGUUAUUAAGGGUGCAGGGCGGAUGCCUUGGCACUAGGAGCCGAUGAAGGACGUGAUAAGCUGCGAUAAGCUUCGGGGAGUUGCACGUAAACUUUGAUCCGAAGAUUUCCGAAUGAGGAAACUCACUUAGAGUAAUGUCUAAGUAUCAUUAAGUGAAUACAUAGCUUAAUGAGGGGAACUCAGGGAACUGAAACAUCUAAGUACCUGAAGG